CGUAAACAACGUUGUUGUUUUUCACCAGAUCGCGUACUUUACCCACGCCCGAGCCGCCCGACCAGUUGACCGAAGGAGCCAGCUUUAGAGCCAGAGAAGCCAUCAACCCAGAAGUGCCAAUGAGUGAAGAAAUAAUGGAUGAAAAUUUGAUGAAACUUCCCAAAUGUGAUGAAAGAUAUGAUGUAAACAUCCAAGAAGCUCAAUGAGCUCCAAGUAAGAUGAACUCAAAAACCCGCAAUGAAACACAUUAUAAUUAAUCUUUCUAAGAGAAAGAGAGAAUCUUGAAAGUAGCAAGAGAAAAGCAAAUUGUUACAUGGAAGAAUCCUCAAUAAGAUUAUUAGCAGAUUUCUCAUCAGAAACUGGAGGCCAAAAGACCAUAAACCAAUACAUUCAAAGUGCUUUUAAAAAGUGGCAUUAUUGUCCUUCAAAAGUUAGGAAGAAAUUAAGACAUUCCCAGAUAAACAAAAGCUGAAAGAGUUCAUGACCACUAGACACAUCCUGUAAGAAAUGCUCAAGAGAGUCCUACAAGGUGAAAAGACACUGGAAACUAACUUGAAUCUGUAGGGAGAAAUAAAGAUCUGAACACAGGCAAUUAUAAAAGCUAGCAUAUCACUGUAGAAUGGUUUUAAAGAGCACUUUUUGUUUUCCAAUACAUUUAAAGAAAAACAAAGCAGUUAAUAAUACAGUUUCAUCCUGUUGUGAUCAGAGAAGAUACUCUGCAAGACAGCUAGCUUUUAAAAUCUUACUUAUAGGGGCGCCUGGGUGGCUCAGUCGGUUGAGCGUCCGACUUCAGCCAGGUCACGAUCUCGCGGUCCGUGAGUUCGAGCCCCGCGUCAGGCUCUGGGCUGAUGGCUCGGAGCCUGGAGCCUGUUUCCGAUUCUGUGUCUCCCUCUCUCUCUGCCCCUCCCCCGUUCAUGCUCUGUCUCUCUCUGUCCCAAAAAUAAAUAAAAAACGUUGAAAAAAAAAUUUAAAAAAAAAAUAAAAAAAUAAAAUCUUACUUAUUAAGACUUACUUACUUGUUAAGACUUACUAUUAACAAUUAUAUAGCAACAAAUUAGAUAAUAUAGAUAAAAUGGACAAAUUCCUAGAAACACAAAACCUACCAAGACUAUAUCACAAAGAAAUAGAAAAUACGAACAGACCUAUAACUGAUAACGAAUCAGCAAUAAAAAAAAUCUCCCAACCACAAACUGUAGAUGUGAUGGCUUCACAGGAGAAUUCUACCAAACAUUUAAAGAACUAACAUCAGUACUUCUCAAACCUUUCUAAAAAACUCAAGAGUAGGGAACACUUCCUAACUCAUUCUAUGAGGCCAGCAUUAUUAUCCUGAUACCCAAAGCCAGACAGACACUACAAGAACAAAAAAAUUUAUAGAGCAGCAUCUCUUAUGAACAUUAAUGCAAAAAAUCCUCAACAAAAUACUAGCAAAUAAAAAUCAGCAGCAUAUUAAAAGGAUUGUACACAAUGACCAAAUAGGAUUUAUUCCUGGAAUGUAAGGAUGGUUCAACAUAACCAAUUGAUCAGAAUGUAAGGAUGGUUCAAACAUAAGAAACUAAUGAACGUAAAACACCACAUCAACAUAAUAAAGGAAAAGACCUCACAUGAACAUCUCGAUGCAGAAAAGACAUCUGACAAAAUUCAACACCUUUUCAUGAUUAAAAAACCCAACAGACAAGGCACAGAAGGAAACUACCUCAACACAAUAAAAAAAAACUAUAGCUGACAUGUUUGAUGGUGAAAUGCUGAAAGCAUUUCCUUUAAGAUCAGGAACAAGUAAGGAUGUCUGUUUUCAUCACUUCUAUUCAACACAAUACUGGAAAUUAUAGCCACAGCAACUAAGCACAAAAAUGAAAUAGAAGGUAUCCAAAUGGGAAAGAAGUAAAAUGAUCUCUGUAGAUGAUAUGAUCUUAUAUUUUAAAAACUCUGAAGAGUCCACAAAAAACCUGUUUGAACUAAUAAAGUCAGCAAAACAGCAAGAUACAAAGUCACCACAUAAAAAUCAACUGCAUUUUUAUACACAAUUAGAGAACAACUUGAAAAGGAAAUUACAAAAGCAAUUCCAUGUACAAUAACAUCAAAAAGAAUAAAAUACUUAGGAGUUAACCAAGAAGGUGAAAGAAAACUUCAUCUUCUUGUACAAAAAAACUACAGUGACUACAAAACAUUGUUGAAAGGAAUUAAAGAAGACGUAAGUACAUGAAAGCAUAUCUCUUAUUCAUGAAAUGUAAGUCCUAAUAUUAUUAAAAUAUCAAUAUUACCCAAAGCAAUCUAUGGAUUCAAUGCAAUCCCUAUCAAAAUCCCAAUGACUUUUUUUUUUUUUUGCAGAAAUAGAAAAAUCCAUCCUAAUAUUCAAAGGAUCCCAAAUAGGCAAAAUAAUCUGGGGGGAGGGGAGGUGGGGAAGGAACAAAAUUGGAGGGUUCAUACUUUGAUUUCAAAAUUUACUACAAAGCUACAGUAAUCAAAACAGUGUGGCAUUGGCAUAAAGAUAGCCAUAUAGACCAAAGAAAAAGAAUAGAGAGCCAAUAAAGAAAUCCUUGCAUACAGUCAAAUGAUUUUUGACAGGGGUGUCAAGACCAUUCAAUGGGUGAAGGACAGUCUUUUCAACACAUGGUGCUCAGAAAAUUGUAUCUCCACUUGCAAAAGAAUGGGGUCUUUACCUCAUACCAAAUACAAAAAUUAACUCAAAAUAGAUCAAGGACCUAAAUGUAAGACCCAAAAGGAUAACACUCUUAGAAGAAAACAGGACAAAACUUCACAACACUGGAUUUGGCAAUGACUUAUUGGAUAUGAUACUAAAGGCUAAAAGCCAAUAAGGGCAGUACUGAGGUCUUCAGCCCAACAGCUUUUGAAGAACACCUUUUGAAUUUUGUCAACAAUCAUGUAAGUGAGCUUAAAAGUGGAUCUUUUCUCAGUCAAGUCUUCAGAUGAGACCACCUGACCAACACCUUCAUUGCAGCCUUUUGAGAGACCUCAAACAGAAGCACAUAGUGAAGCCACUCCUGAGUCCCUGUCUCAUGGAAAUGGCAUGAAAAUAAGUAUCUGUUGUUUUGGGCAAGUGCUUGGGGAAAUUUGUUGCUCAGCAAUAGAAAACUAAUACAACAUCCGUCUUACUCCAUUUCAGAUGCUAUAACAAAAUACCACAGACUAUGUGGCUAAAAAGAACAGGAAUUUAUUCCUCCUAGUUCUUCAGGCUGGAAGGUUGAGGUCAAUGUGCCAGUAUGGUCAGAUCCAGCCCACCCAACACAUCCUCAGCAGGAGUCCAUCCAAAGCAGUACCACAAGCACGGCAGUGUGCAAUCAGCCCUGGCAGGGGCCAGCACCACCCCAAAGUGCCUCCUUCCCUGAGUAAGUGGGGAAGAAAAUCACACAUACCAGUUCAACUGCUGAGGGCAGGUAUAUGAUCUGACUGCAGGUCCCACCCAACAACAAAAGCCUCCCAGGGGACCACACAGUGAGAGUACCCUGCAGAUUGGUGCUAUACACCUCUGGAAAACACCUAGUCUGACUCAACUCAAGCCCAAUGUAGCCCCAGACUGCUCACUAACAACACAGGGACCAAACCCCAUCCACAAUAGGGAAAAAAGAACCAAUGCAGACUGAUGGCAAACAUGGCUCAGCCACAACAGUAGGGUGCAUGUAACACACAUAGGAGACAACUCUGAAGCGCCAGGUUCUGUUGAACAGGGGACAACACACUACAGGCCACUACUUUUAAGAGCAGGAGAUGUAGCUGACUUUUCUAACCCAUAGAAACAGACACAGAGAGACAAAAUCAGGAGACAGAGGAAUAUCUCUCAAAUGAAAGAACAGGGCAAAAUCAUAGCGAGAGAGCUGAAUGAAACAGGUAAGUAAUAUGUCUGACAGAAAAUUUAAAGUAAUGGUCAUAAAGAUACUCACUGGAAUUGAGAAAAGAGUGGAAGACCUCAGUGAGACCCUCAACAAAGAGACAGAAAACAUGAAAAAGAACCAAUGAGAAAUGAAGAACUCAAUAAGUGAAAUUAAAACUAUGCUAGAUGGCAUAAACAGUAGACUAGAGGAAGCAGAAAGAUAGAUCAGUGACCUGGAAGACAGAGUAAUAUAGAGUAAUCAAGCUGAAUGAGAGAAAGAAAAAAGAAAAAGAAAAAUUGAAAAUAAAUUGAGAAUUCAGUGACAUCAUCAAGCAUAACAUUCAUACAUAGGGAUCCCAGAAGGAAAAGGGAGAGAGAAGAGGGAAGAAAUUUUAUCUGAAGAAAUAAUAGCUGAAAACUUCCUGAAUCUGGGGAAGGAAACAGGAAUUCAGAUCCAGGAGGCACAGAGAGAUCCCAACAAAAUCAAUCCAAGGAGUUCCACACCAAAACACAUAGGAAUUAAAAUGGCAAAAAGCAGUGAUAAAGAAUAAUUUUUAAAAGCAGCAAGAGAAAAGAAAACAGUUAUAGACAAGGGAACAGUUAUAGACAAGGGAAGUCCCAUAAAGUUUAUAUAAAGUUAGCAGCUGAUUUUUCAGCAGAAACUUUGCAGACCAGAAUGGAGUGGCAUGAUAUAUUCAAAGUGCUGAAAGAAAAAACUCUGCAAUCAAGAGUACUCUAUCCAGCAAGUCUAUCACUCAGGACAGAAGGAGAGAUGAAAGAGUUUCUCAGACAAAUAAAAGUUAGAGGAAUUCGUCACUAAACCAGCCUUACAAGAAAUGUUAAAGAGGAUUCUUUAUGUGAAAAGAAAAGACUGUAGAGGUGCCUGGGUGGCUUAGUUGGCUGAGUGUCCAACUUCGGCUCAGGUCAUGAUCUUAUGGUUCGUGAGUUUGGGCCGUGCAUCAGGCUCUGUGCUGACAGCUCAGAGCCCGAAGCCUGCUUCGGAUUCUCUCUCUCUCUCUCUCUCUCUCAAAAAUAAAUAAACAUUAAAAAAUUAAAAAAAAAAGAAAAAAGAAAAAAGAAAAGACUGUAAGCAAGAGUUAGAAAAUAUUAGGAAGCACAAAAGCAGUAAAAUUAUAUCUAUAAAAAUCAGUCAAGGGAUUCACAAAAUAAAAGGAUGUAAAGUAUGGUACUAUACACCUAAAACUUGGGGCAAGGGGUGAGGUGAAGAGUAAAGAAUGAGUUCAAACUUAAGCGACCAUAACUUAAUAUAUACUGCUAUAUGCAGAAGGUGUUGUGUACAAAACUAAUGGUAACCAUAAAUAAAAUACUAAUAAUAGAUGCUACACAAAAAGUAAAGAAAAGGAAUCCAGGAAUAUCACUACAGAAAGCCAGAAAAUAGUGAGACGAGAGAGCAAGAGAAGGAAUAGAGAAGAACUACACAAGCAACUAUGAAAUGAGUAACAAAAUGGUGGUGAAUACAUACCUAUCAAUAAUUACUUUGAAUUUAAAUGGAGUAAAUGCCUCAAUCAAAAGACAUAGGAUGACAGAAUAGAUAAAAACGCAAGACCUAUCUAUACGCUACCUACAAGAGGCUCAUUUCAGACCUAAACACAGAUUGAAUGCAGAUUCAGUGCAGAUUGAAAGUGAAGGGAUGGAGGAAGUUUUAUCAGGCAAAUGGACGUGAAAAGAAAGCUGGGGUAGUAAUACUUAUAUCUGACAAAAUAGACUUUAAAACAAAGACUAACAAGACAAAGAAGAACACUACAUAAUCAUAAAGUGAACAAUCCAAGAAGAUAUAAUAAUUGUAAAUAUUUAUGCACCCACAUGGAGCACCCAAAUACAGCAAAUAAAAAACAUAAAGGAAGUAAUUGAUAAUAAUACAAGAAUAGUAGGGAACUUCAACACCCCACUUACAUCAAUGGAUAGAUCAUCCAAACAUAAUCACAAGGACACUUUGGACAACAAGGACAAGUGGCUUUGAAUAACACAUUGGAUCAAAUGGAUUUAACAGAUAUAUUCAGAAUAUUCCAUCCUAAAACAGCUGAAUACAAUUCUUUUCAAGUACACAUGGAACAUUCUCCAGAACAGAUCAUGUAUUAGGCCACAAGUCUCAACAAAUUAAAAAAGACUGAAGUCAUACCAUGCAUCUUUUCUGACCACAAUGCUAUGAAUCUGGAAUUCUACAACCACAAGAAAAAAAUAUGGAAAAACACAAAUACAUGGAGGUUAAAUAACAUGGUACUAAACAAUAAAUGGGUCAACCAAGAAAUCAAAGAGGAAAUAAAAAAAUACAUGGAGACAAAUGGAAAUGAAAACACAACAGUCCAAAAUCUUUGGGAUUCAGCAAAAGCUGCUCCAAGAGGGAAGUUUAUAGCAAUAUAUGCCUAACUCAAGAAGCAAGACAAAUCUCACAUAAACAACCUAACCUUACACUUAAAGGCUAGAAAAGAACAAAAAAAAAAAAAGACCCCAAACCAAUAGAAGGAACAUUAGAGAAGAAAUAAAAUAGAAUAUAAAAAGACAACAAUAUAACAGACCAAUGAAAACAGGAGCUGGUUCUUGAAAAGAUAAAAAAAAAAAAAAAAAAAAAAAUUGAAAAAACUUUGGCCAGACUCAUUAAGAAGAGAGACAGAAGCAGGGAGGGAAUGAGGGAGAGUAAGAGAGACAGAGAGAGAACUCAAAAUCAGAAAUGAAAGAGGAGAAAUAACUGACAUCUCCGAAAUACAAGGGAUUAUAAGAAAGUAUUAUAAAAAAUUAUAUGCCAACAAAUUGGAUAACCAAUAAGAGAUGGAUCAAUUUCUAGAAACAUAUAACCUCCCAAAACUGAAUCAGGAAUAGAAAAUCUGAACAGACUAACUACCAGUAAUGACAUUCAAUCAAUAAUCAAAAAACUCCAGGGGCGCCUGGGUGGCGCAGUCGGUUAAGCGUCCGACUUCAGCCAGGUCACGAUCUCGCGGUUUGUGAGUUUGAGAGGCCUGAGAAAAUUAAAACUUAAAAGCUUAAGUUACGGGAAACUGAAACCUAACCAAGCUUAACCAGCUUGUUCCGCUUCUGUACAAUUGCUUGGCGCGCCCAUGUAUUCCUGAUCAAUCAUUGUUGCCUGGCACAUCCGUAUAUUCCUGAUCAAACAUUGUUACUUGGCACAUCCGUGUACUCCUGAUCAAUCAUUGUUGCCUGGCACAUCCAUGUAUUCCUGAUCAAUCAUUGUGAUACCCGUACCCCCGGUUGUGGUCUGACCUAAAGGCAGGAACCAAUCGAAUACUGUUAAGUGUCCAACUUUAAACACCAACCAAUCGCAGCUCUGUAACUGUGGAAAAUUCCUGAUUUCCCCAUGACUUGUUUGUACCUGUCUAUAAAAGGGGUGUAAAAACCUCUCUCAGGACCUCUCGGCGUCACCGGCAACGAGGGCGCAGAGGUCCAGGUUCGAACCUGCAAUAAAUGACCCUUGCUGCUUAGCUUUGA
Molecule: long non-coding RNA, 7288 nt
Organism: Panthera uncia (snow leopard)
Lineage: Eukaryota; Metazoa; Chordata; Mammalia; Carnivora; Felidae
Exons: 3
Source: RefSeq, a predicted model, not a curated record